This is a non-coding RNA of Morus notabilis, 107 nucleotides long. The record is from Rfam. NCBI's taxonomy places the organism in Eukaryota, Viridiplantae, Streptophyta, Magnoliopsida, Rosales, Moraceae.
AGCCCAUGAUGCGGACAUCGUCGAAGCAAAUCUUUGAAUCUUUCCCAUGCCUCAUAAAGAGACUCAGAAUCAUAUUGAGCAAACGAGGUUAUGUCAUUCCUCAUUUU